Molecule: transfer RNA, 72 nt
Filed under: bacterium ADurb.Bin363
Lineage: Bacteria
Also listed under: 1 other name
Description: tRNA-Thr
Rfam family: tRNA
About the family: Transfer RNA (tRNA) molecules are approximately 80 nucleotides in length. Their secondary structure includes four short double-helical elements and three loops (D, anti-codon, and T loops). Further hydrogen bonds mediate the characteristic L-shaped molecular structure. tRNAs have two regions of fundamental functional importance: the anti-codon, which is responsible for specific mRNA codon recognition, and the 3' end, to which the tRNAs corresponding amino acid is attached (by aminoacyl-tRNA synthetases). tRNAs cope with the degeneracy of the genetic code in two manners: having more than one tRNA (with a specific anti-codon) for a particular amino acid; and 'wobble' base-pairing, i.e. permitting non-standard base-pairing at the 3rd anti-codon position.
Source: RNAcentral
GCCGAUGUAGCUCAAGGGUAGAGCAGCUCACUCGUAAUGAGCAGGUUGUCCGUUCAAGUCGGAUCAUCGGCU